Non-coding RNA from Xyrichtys novacula (pearly razorfish), 414 nucleotides. Lineage: Eukaryota; Metazoa; Chordata; Actinopteri; Labriformes; Labridae. The record is from the annotation of a GenBank genome assembly.
CUGUGAAGCUGCAGACCUACUACUUUCUGUUUUUAUCUUUUUUCUUCUUCUUUAAGAAAUGAAACCAGGUCAGAUAAAUAAAUACUUAAAUUAUUCAGCACACAUUUCACUCGACUUUUUUCCUGGAAAUGUCUGCCCUGAAAUAGGAGUGACCCUAGCUGACUCCUCUCUCCUCCUUUCUCCUUACCCUGCAGCUCCUCCAUCUUUGAAUCACCAGCUUCUGAAGUGAAGAAAAGGAAAACAGCACAUGUAAGUCAAUUUCAGUUUAUUCCUCUCUUUCUCUCUUUCUCCCUCCGCACCCUACCUUUCCUCCCUCCAUUAACUUCAGUUUGUUCUUCUCAUCCUCUCCUUUUCAGUAUUCUCAUGCAUUCUUCUUUCAUCUUUAAUUUCUUUCCUUGUUUUCUGUAUUUUCUC